ACGGGAAUUGCUUAUUUUUACAAAAUUGAACCAAAUUGGCUUCUGAAAACGAAUUUUUAUUUAAUUAUUUAUUUUUAUUAAUGAUUGAACCAAACCAAAACAUAUUCUACUUUUUUUUCAUUUCUCUUAGCUAGUGCUCCUUUAACAUUUUGAUACGCAUUUGAUUUCGAAUUAUUGUAUUCUGUUCUAUUAUCAUCGUAUGGUUUUUAGAAAAAAGAAAAAAUCGUACAAGGACUGGCAGAGGUUAUUUUAUCUAAUUAACAAACAAUGCACCGUUCAAAUUAUUAACUACCAGGCAAAAUAUAAAAUACAGACAGUUAUAUAUA
This 326-nucleotide long non-coding RNA is filed under the name Mytilus galloprovincialis (Mediterranean mussel). Lineage: Eukaryota; Metazoa; Mollusca; Bivalvia; Mytilida; Mytilidae. The record is from RNAcentral.